GCGCUGGUAGUGCAGCGGUAGAGUAGCGCUCUCGGAAAGAGUGAGAUCUGGGUUCAAGUCCUAGCUGACGCA
Non-coding RNA from Parelaphostrongylus tenuis, 72 nucleotides. Lineage: Eukaryota; Metazoa; Nematoda; Chromadorea; Rhabditida; Metastrongylidae. The record is from the annotation of a GenBank genome assembly.